UACAUGGGGUGCAAACGUUGCUCGGAAUUAUUGGGCGUAAAGCGCACGUAGGUGGUCUGUUAUGUCAGAUGUGAAAGCCCUCGGCUUAACUGAGGAAGUGCACCUGAAACUGGCAGGCUUGAGUACGAAAGAGGGUCGCGGAAUUCCCGGUGUAGAGGUGAAAUUCGUAGAUAUCGGGAGGAACACCAGUGGCGAAGGCGGGUCUCUGGGCCGAUAUCGACGCUGAGGAGCGAAAGCGUGGGGAGCGAACAGG
Molecule: ribosomal RNA, 253 nt
Filed under: uncultured prokaryote
Description: partial 16S ribosomal RNA
Rfam family: Bacterial small subunit ribosomal RNA
Source: RNAcentral